CAGCCGCCGCGGUAAUACCGGCGGCCCGAGUGGCGGUCACUAUUAUUGGGCUUAAAGCGUCCGUAGCCGGGUUGGGAAGUCCUCCGGGAAAUCUGGCCGCUUAACGGUCAGAAUGCCGGAGGAUACUCCCAGCCUAGGGAGCGGGGGAGGCCGAGGGGAUUCCCGGAGGAGGGGUGAAAUCCUAUAAUCCCGGGAGGACCACCUGUGGCGAAGGCGCUCGGCUGGAACGCGUCCGACGGUGAGGGACGAAGGCCAGGGGAGCAAACCGGAUUAGAUACCCGGGUAGUCCUGGCUGUAAACGAUGCGGACUUUGUGUCGGACAAGCUAUGAGCUUGUCCGGUGCCGGAGGGAAACCGUUAAGUCCGCCGCCUGGGGAGUACGGCCGCAAGGCUGAAACUUAAAGGAAUUGGCGGG
RNAcentral lists this ribosomal RNA (414 nucleotides) under uncultured microorganism. Its description in RNAcentral is "bacterial SSU rRNA". It matches the Rfam family "Archaeal small subunit ribosomal RNA", at positions 459 to 872 of the family's 1478-position model. The record is from RNAcentral.